Molecule: ribosomal RNA, 253 nt
Filed under: uncultured bacterium
Lineage: Bacteria
Description: partial 16S ribosomal RNA
Rfam family: Bacterial small subunit ribosomal RNA
Source: RNAcentral
UACGUAGGUGGCAAGCGUUGUCCGGAUUUACUGGGCGUAAAGGAUGCGUAGGUGGAUAUGCAAGUCAGAUGUGAAAUACCCGGGCUCAACUCUGGUGCUGCAUUUGAAACUAUAUAUCUAGAGUGCAGGAGAGGUAAGUGGAAUUCCUAGUGUAGCGGUGAAAUGCGUAGAGAUUAGGAAGAACACCAGUGGCGAAGGCGACUUACUGGACUGUAACUGACGCUGAGGCAUGAAAGCGUGGGGAGCAAACAGG